UGUGAAUUGCAAUGAAUAAUAUCUAACAAAAGAAAAGACAUGGUGAUUUUUAAAAAUUGAUCAGAGGCCAUUGGAAAAGGUUUUUAUGGGAAUCUGCAUGGCAAGUAGGAUAACCAUGAGAGAAAUCACGAAGUCCUAAACUCAGAGUCUGUUCCAGCCGAAUGAAGAAAUCAAUAAACUCCUUUUGGAAGAGAGAAACCAAAACCAAAUCCCCAGAUCUGAAGGUCAUCAAAUUCUGGAGAAGCCUGGUGAUGCCAAGAUGGUCCCUUUUCUGUUCAUUGGAUAUCUAUCUCUUCUGGAGCUGAUUCACCCCAUCGCUUAAUGAAAAUAUCCAGGAGGAAAACUGCCCACUUUCUACUCCCAAGCCUAUGAGAAAAGUCUCACCCAGCCCAAGAAAACAUACUUCAAAAGGUCUGAUGUUCUGUGUACCACCAUCUGGCACUAAACAUUCAUUCUGUCUGGUGAUUUAUUGAUCCAUACUGGAAAUCAUCAGAAUAGCUAUGCACCAUCACGGAGACAAUGCAUUCAUUUCUAGCAUACAUUAGCACAGACUUUCCUUGGGGAGUGGUGAGAUGUUGCCACUCCAUUUCAAGUUUCCCAAUCCCUCUGAAGAUUUCAGUUCAAUGGAAAUAUGACAGUUGUCUGCCUCGUGACUCUGACUAAGUGUCAACAGACCCUGGGCAAAAACUGUUGGGUCUCUGAGGCUGUUGCCCACUCACAUCACUCCACUGAAUCAUGUCCAAUUCUUAUGGUUCCUUGUCAUCUUCCUGUUCUCCUCCCUCUGUUCACCAAACCCAGAGGAAACGGGAGAUAAGACUGUGUUCAGUCAUUUCAACACAGGACAAAGGUUUUGCGCAUUAAGUCUCUGCAAAAAAAUGAAAAUAAACAAUCAUAUGCAACAGGGCUGUGACACACAAUUGUGAGGCCCAGCCAUGUUAUAAAAUGAUCCCUUCCUGUCAAUGCAGAUAGAAAAAAAACCCACCCCGCAUGUUACAAAUAUGUGAAGGAACCCUGGUUUAACCAUGUUUAUUUUCCACUGUCCCCUAACAUGGGCUUAGAUUGUGCCAGGGUGUAUGCCUUCAUGCAUGGAGCUCACCUUUCCAUCUGGAAGGACAUAUGUGCUGUUUCUUUAAAACUUUAGCAGGAAGUCAGGUGGGAGGAGCUGGGAAGGUGACAGAGGAAGUCCUGAAUUCCCUGGAAUCUUUUAGGGCAUAUGGGUGGAGCUGCCACCGAGGAUCUGACCCUAAGGAUUUGACUCAUUGAUUUUUGUCUGAGCAAAAUAUAACUGGAGCUGCCAUAUAGGAAAAAAACAGUACGCGCACAAAUAAAAUUGCUGAGUUUGGUUUGCUGUUAUU
Mauremys mutica (yellowpond turtle) is the source of this 1355-nucleotide long non-coding RNA. RefSeq lists it as uncharacterized. The transcript is spliced from 3 exons. Lineage: Eukaryota; Metazoa; Chordata; Testudines; Geoemydidae. The record is from RefSeq and is a predicted model, not a curated record.